GCUUUCCCGUGGCUCUGUUGGUAGAGCAUUGCACUAACAACGCAAAAGGUUAUGGGUUCAAAUCCCAGGGAAAGCA
RNAcentral lists this transfer RNA (76 nucleotides) under Danionella cerebrum. RNAcentral describes it as "tRNA-Val". It matches the Rfam family "tRNA". Rfam says of the family: Transfer RNA (tRNA) molecules are approximately 80 nucleotides in length. Their secondary structure includes four short double-helical elements and three loops (D, anti-codon, and T loops). The record is from RNAcentral. Lineage: Eukaryota; Metazoa; Chordata; Actinopteri; Cypriniformes; Danionidae.